AACCAUCACACUCAGCUUCAAUUACAAAUCAGGAUGCAAUAAACACCUCUGGAUAAUCUUGCUUCCGCAAUCUGAUGCGCAGAGGCGCUGAGGGGUGGGGCGUCCAGGGCUCUGUAGGUAAACCUCCCACGCAUCCGUGAGGAAGGAGAAGGGCUACUUGCUGUGGGAGCGCCUGUGGAUACAGUCGUGGUGUAUUUUCCGUGGGGUGGCUUCGUUGUGAGUAGGGGCUUAGAUUUGGGCUAGAAUCACCGGUGAAGAAAAGAUACAAGCUCUGCCAGAGAACGUUGAGUCCACUCAAAGGGGUCUCCUAAGGGAGGUUCAGGAGGGUCUGCGUGGAGGCAGUGCGGGGCGAGCAGGCGGGGACAUGCCUCCUAGGUCUUGGAGUCAGUAGCAGAGGCUCGCUCCCGCACCACAGCGUCGGGUGGACUCAGGCUAGGCGCUCGCUCGCCUCAUUCGCCCACCUUGCAGUUCGGCCUACGACGCACGGCUGCGCCAGAAGGUGGCUGUGAAGAAGCUGUCUCGCCCUUUCCAAUCGCUGAUCCACGCGAGGAGGACAUACCGUGAGCUACGCCUACUCAAACACCUGAAGCACGAGAACGUGAGAGGGUGGCCCGGUGGUGUUGGGACUGAACGACGGACGCCUCUUGGUGGGGGCGGGAGCUAGGAUAUGGGGCGGGGCCUUUGGGGGUACGGCCCCAUAUGGGUGGGGUCCAGGCCAGGGGGGCGUUGCCUACAGCUGAGCUGUUGUCCCGCCUCGGUUCCCUGACCAGGUCAUAGGACUUUUGGACGUCUUCACGCCGGCCACAUCCAUCGAGGAUUUCAGCGAAGUGUACCUCGUGACCACCCUGAUGGGCGCUGACCUGAAUAACAUCGUCAAGUGUCAGGCCCUGAGCGAUGAGCAUGUUCAGUUCCUUGUCUACCAGCUGCUGCGUGGGCUGAAGGCUCAUGGCCGUACCACACUCAUGCCCUGUGCACCCUGCAGGACCUGAAGCCCAGCAAUGUAGCAGUGAAUGAGGACUGCGAGCUGAGG
RNAcentral lists this long non-coding RNA (1030 nucleotides) under Rattus norvegicus (Norway rat). RNAcentral's name for it is "long non-coding RNA NONRATT027226". Lineage: Eukaryota; Metazoa; Chordata; Mammalia; Rodentia; Muridae. The record is from RNAcentral.